RNAcentral lists this ribosomal RNA (860 nucleotides) under Lyophyllum praslinense. RNAcentral describes it as "partial large subunit ribosomal RNA". Lineage: Eukaryota; Fungi; Basidiomycota; Agaricomycetes; Agaricales; Lyophyllaceae. The record is from RNAcentral.
CCUAGUAACUGCGAGUGAAGCGGGAAGAGCUCAAAUUUAAAAUCUGACAGCCUUUGGUUGUCCGAGUUGUAAUCUAGAGAAGUGUUAUCCGCGCUGGACCGUGUACAAGUCUCCUGGAAUGGAACAUCAUAGAGGGUGAGAAUCCCGUCUUUGACACGGACUUCCAGGGCUUUUGUGAUACGCUCUCAAAGAGUCGAGUUGUUUGGGAAUGCAGCUCUAAAUGGGUGGUAAAUUCCAUCUAAAGCUAAAUAUUGGCGAGAGACCGAUAGCGAACAAGUACCGUGAGGGAAAGAUGAAAAGAACUUUGGAAAGAGAGUUAAACAGUACGUGAAAUUGUUGAAAGGGAAACGCUUGAAGUCAGUCGCAUUGACUAGGGAUCAACCUUGCUUUYUUGCUUGGUGUACUUCCUAGUUGAUGGGCCAGCAUCAAUUUUGACCAGUGGAUAAAGGUCAAAGGAAUGUGGCAUCUCUGGAUGUGUUAUAGCCUUUGAUUGUAUACAUUGGUUGGGAUUGAGGAACUCAGCACGCCGCAAGGCCGGGUUUCGACCACGAUCGUGCUUAGGAUGCUGGCAUAAUGGCUUUAAUCGACCCGUCUUGAAACACGGACCAAGGAGUCUAACAUGCCUGYGAGUAUUUGGGUGGCAAACCCAUGUGCGUAAUGAAAGUGAAGAUCAGGAUCUCUGUCAUGGAGAGCACUGAUGCCCGGACCAGACCUUUUGUGACGGAUCUGCGGUAGAGCAUGCAUGUUGGGACCCGAAAGAUGGUGAACUAUGCCUGAAUAGGGUGAAGCCAGAGGAAACUCUGGUGGAGGCUCGUAGCGAUUCUGACGUGCAAAUCGAUCGUCAAAUUUGGGUAUAGGGG